This 1237-nucleotide non-coding RNA is filed under the name Drosophila persimilis. RNAcentral describes it as "Eukaryotic large subunit ribosomal RNA". It matches the Rfam family "Eukaryotic large subunit ribosomal RNA", at positions 2379 to 3401 of the family's 3401-position model. Lineage: Eukaryota; Metazoa; Arthropoda; Insecta; Diptera; Drosophilidae. The record is from Rfam by way of RNAcentral.
ACGGGCUUGGAAUAAUUAGCGGGGAAAGAAGACCCUUUUGAGCUUGACUCUAAUCUGGCAGUGUAAGGAGACAUAAGAGGUGUAGCAUAAGUGGGAGAUAUUAGAUUUCGGUUUGGUAUCGACAAUGAAAUACCACUACUCUUAUUGUUUCCUUACUUACUUGAUUAAAUGGAACGUGUAUCAUUUCCUAGCCAUUAUACGGAUAUAUUUAUUAUAUCUUAUGGUAUUGGGUUUUGAUGCAAGCUUCUUGAUCAAAGUAUCACGAGUUUGUUAUAUAAUCGCAAACAAAUUCUUUAAUGAGAAAAUGCAUUUAUGUAUUUUCAAUUUGAAAAUUUGGUAUAACUCCAAUUACUCAGGUAUGAUCCAAUUCAAGGACAUUGCCAGGUAGGGAGUUUGACUGGGGCGGUACAUCUCUCAAAUAAUAACGGAGGUGUCCCAAGGCCAGCUCAGUGCGGACAGAAACCACACAUAGAGCAAAAGGGCAAAUGCUGACUUGAUCUCGGUGUUCAGUACACACAGGGACAGCAAAAGCUCGGCCUAUCGAUCCUUUUGGUUUAAAGAGUUUUUAACAAGAGGUGUCAGAAAAGUUACCAUAGGGAUAACUGGCUUGUGGCGGCCAAGCGUUCAUAGCGACGUCGCUUUUUGAUCCUUCGAUGUCGGCUCUUCCUAUCAUUGUGAAGCAAAAUUCACCAAGCGUUGGAUUGUUCACCCAUGCAAGGGAACGUGAGCUGGGUUUAGACCGUCGUGAGACAGGUUAGUUUUACCCUACUAAUGACAAAACGUUGUUGCGACAGCAUUCCUGCGUAGUACGAGAGGAACCGCAGGUACGGGACCAAAUGGCACAAUACUUGUUCGAGCGAACAGUGGUAUGACGCUACGUCCCGUUGGAUUAUGCCUGAACGCCUCUAAGGUCGUAUCCGUGCUGGACUGCAAUGAUAAAUAAGGGGCAAUUUGCAUUGUAUGGGUUCUAAACCAUUUAAAAGUUUAUAAUUUAUUUUAUAAACGACCAUUGGAUGUGAUGCCAAUGUAAUUUGUGACCAUAGUAAAUUGGGGAGGGAUCAUCGAUCACCUGAAUGCCGCGCUAGUUGCAUAUAAAAACAUUAUUUUAAUACCAAUGACAAAGCCUAGGAAUCAAUUGGUAAACCGACUUUUGUAACAGGCAAGGUGUUGUAAGUGCUUGAGCAGCUGCCAAUACGGCGAAUCCAACUGAAAGCUAAUCCUUUGCUUGAUGAUUCGA